This 506-nucleotide ribosomal RNA is filed under the name uncultured bacterium. Its description in RNAcentral is "partial 16S ribosomal RNA". It matches the Rfam family "Bacterial small subunit ribosomal RNA", at positions 29 to 523 of the family's 1533-position model. The record is from RNAcentral.
AGUGAACGCUGGCGGUAGGCCUAACACAUGCAAGUCGAACGGCAGCACAGGAGAGCUUGCUCUCUGGGUGGCGAGUGGCGGACGGGUGAGGAAUACAUCGGAAUCUACUCUGUCGUGGGGGAUAACGUAGGGAUACUUACGCUAAUACCGCAUACGACCUACGGGUGAAAGCAGGGGACCUUCGGGCCUUGCGCGAUUGAAUGAGCCGAUGUCGGAUUAGCUAGUUGGCGGGGUAAAGGCCCACCAAGGCGACGAUCCGUAGCUGGUCUGAGAGGAUGAUCAGCCACACUGGAACUGAGACACGGUCCAGACUCCUACGGGAGGCAGCAGUGGGGAAUUUUGGACAAUGGGCGCAAGCCUAAUCCAGCAAUGCCGCGUGAGUGAAGAAGGCCUUCGGGUUGUAAAGCUCUUUUGUCAGGGAAGAAACGGCUCGGGCUAAUAUCCUGGGCUAAUGACGGUACCUGAAGAAUAAGCACCGGCUAACUACGUGCCAGCAGCCGCGGUAA